RNAcentral lists this ribosomal RNA (450 nucleotides) under uncultured bacterium. RNAcentral's name for it is "partial 16S ribosomal RNA". It matches the Rfam family "Bacterial small subunit ribosomal RNA", at positions 338 to 795 of the family's 1533-position model. The record is from RNAcentral.
CCUACGGGGGGCAGCAGUGGGGAAUUUUGGACAAUGGGGGCAACCCUGAUCCAGCCAUUCCGCGUGAGUGAAGAAGGCCUUCGGGUUGUAAAGCUCUUUCGGCCGGGAAGAAAUCGCAUCUCCUAAUACGGGGUGUGGAUGACGGUACCGGAAGAAGAAGCACCGGCUAACUACGUGCCAGCAGCCGCGGUAAUACGUAGGGUGCGUACUUUACGCGGAAUUACUGGGGGUAAAGCGCGCGCACGCGUGUGAAAUCCCCGGGCUUAACCUGGGAACUGCGUUUGUGACUGGUGGGCGUGAGUGCGGCAGAGGGGGGUGGAAUUCCACGUGUAGCAGUGAAAUGCGUAGAGAUGUGGAGGAACACCGAUGGCGAAGGCAGCCCCCUGGGUCGACACUGACGCUCAUGCACGAAAGCGUGGGGAGCAAACAGGAUUAGAUACCCCAGUAGUC